Puntigrus tetrazona (Sumatra barb) is the source of this 548-nucleotide long non-coding RNA. RefSeq lists it as uncharacterized. Lineage: Eukaryota; Metazoa; Chordata; Actinopteri; Cypriniformes; Cyprinidae. The record is from RefSeq and is a predicted model, not a curated record. The transcript is spliced from 3 exons.
CAUUUAAACUUCAACAUUUCUGAGAUGCAUUUCACCUUUUGGAGCAGCCAAAAGUCACAGGUCUGCUAGACGAAGGCUACUGAUCCUGAUGUGGAGGGCUUGAGGUGGCCACUGUCUUCACAAUGAACCCAGUAGUUGGAAUCAGUUCACACAAAUCCAAAGCUUCCUGAUACAUACACACAUACAUACGGUACAGUAAUCGUGGUAGCAGACUUACCAUCAGUCAGCUGGAAACCAAAGGGCUCUGCAACAAAGUGUGGUUUGGGAUCAGCUGGCUCUGGAUUCGGCUCCGAGUUCUCUUGUAGAGGCACAAAUGGCUCAACUCUGGUCCCGCGGCAGCAGCAGAAGGAGGGCCACUUUAAGGGCUUCCGUGCUUUCUUAAAGACUGAAGAAAUCCCUUUCUUCAUCCUUUUCCUCAAACCGGGGUGUUUUUCUAAAAAUCAUUCAAAAAGACUGAAUCAUUUGCAUAUGCCAGUGCACUGUGCUGGUAUUUACUAUCUACACAAAUGUCCCAGGUUUUACUGUACUUUCGUUCUUACCUGUGCUGU